GCGUAAAGCGCGCGCAGGUGGCUAUGUAAGUCUGAUGUUAAAGCCCGAGGCUCAACCUCGGUUCGCAUUGGAAACUGUGUAGCUUGAGUGCAGGAGAGGAAAGUGGUAUUCCACGUGUAGCGGUGAAAUGCGUAGAGAUGUGGAGGAACACCAGUGGCGAAGGCGACUUUCUGGCCUGUAACUGACACUGAGGCGCGAAAGCGUGGGGAGCAAACAGGAUUAGAUACC
Molecule: ribosomal RNA, 228 nt
Filed under: Brevibacillus laterosporus
Lineage: Bacteria; Bacillati; Bacillota; Bacilli; Caryophanales; Paenibacillaceae
Description: partial 16S ribosomal RNA
Rfam family: Bacterial small subunit ribosomal RNA
Source: RNAcentral